This 325-nucleotide ribosomal RNA is filed under the name uncultured bacterium. RNAcentral describes it as "bacterial SSU rRNA". It matches the Rfam family "Bacterial small subunit ribosomal RNA", at positions 28 to 334 of the family's 1533-position model. The record is from RNAcentral.
GAUGAACGCUGGCGGCGUGCUUAACACAUGCAAGUCGAACGGAGUGCCUUUGAAAGAGGAUUCGUCCAAUUGAUAAGGUUACUUAGUGGCGGACGGGUGAGUAACGCGUGAGGAACCUGCCUUGGAGUGGGGAAUAACACAGUGAAAAUUGUGCUAAUACCGCAUAAUGCAGUUGGGCCGCAUGGCUCUGACUGCCAAAGAUUUAUCGCUCUGAGAUGGCCUCGCGUCUGAUUAGCUAGUUGGUAAGGUAACGGCUUACCAAGGCGACGAUGCAUAGCCGAGUUGAGAGACUGAUCGGCCACAUUGGGACUGAGACACGGCCCAA